Molecule: transfer RNA, 74 nt
Filed under: Apaloderma vittatum (bar-tailed trogon)
Lineage: Eukaryota; Metazoa; Chordata; Aves; Trogoniformes; Trogonidae
Rfam family: tRNA
About the family: Transfer RNA (tRNA) molecules are approximately 80 nucleotides in length. Their secondary structure includes four short double-helical elements and three loops (D, anti-codon, and T loops). Further hydrogen bonds mediate the characteristic L-shaped molecular structure. tRNAs have two regions of fundamental functional importance: the anti-codon, which is responsible for specific mRNA codon recognition, and the 3' end, to which the tRNAs corresponding amino acid is attached (by aminoacyl-tRNA synthetases). tRNAs cope with the degeneracy of the genetic code in two manners: having more than one tRNA (with a specific anti-codon) for a particular amino acid; and 'wobble' base-pairing, i.e. permitting non-standard base-pairing at the 3rd anti-codon position.
Source: Rfam by way of RNAcentral
GGCCAGUUAGCUCAGUCAGUUAGAGCGUGGUGCUGAUAAAACCAAGGCUGCAGGUUCGAUCCACGCUCGGUCCC